This 305-nucleotide ribosomal RNA is filed under the name uncultured bacterium. RNAcentral describes it as "bacterial SSU rRNA". It matches the Rfam family "Bacterial small subunit ribosomal RNA", at positions 333 to 631 of the family's 1533-position model. The record is from RNAcentral.
GUAUGCCUACGGGACGCAGCAGUAGGGAAUUUUCGUCAAUGGGCGCAAGCCUGAACGAGCAAUGCCGCGUGAACGAGGAAGGUCUUCGGAUCGUAAAGUUUUGUUGAAGGGGAAAAAGAGCGGAGAGAGGAAAUGGUCUCCGAUUGAUAUUACCCUUCGAGGAAGUCACAGCUAACUACGUGCCAGCAGCCGCGGUAAUACGUAGGUGGCGAGCGUUAUCCGGAAUGAUUGGGCGUAAAGGGUGCGUAGGCGGCCUGCUAAGUCUGGAGUGAAAGGUACCGGCUCAACCGGUAUAGGCUCUGGAA